GCUGUGAUGGCCGAGUGGUUAAGGCGUCUGACUUGAAUCAUCGAGUUUCAUGACAAGCUAUCAGAUGGGUUCUCCCGCGUAGGUUCGAAUCCUACUCGCAGCG
RNAcentral lists this transfer RNA (103 nucleotides) under Adineta vaga. RNAcentral's name for it is "tRNA-Ser for anticodon UGA". It matches the Rfam family "tRNA". From Rfam's summary of the family: Transfer RNA (tRNA) molecules are approximately 80 nucleotides in length. Lineage: Eukaryota; Metazoa; Rotifera; Eurotatoria; Adinetida; Adinetidae. The record is from RNAcentral.